AGUGAGUUCAGCCUAUCAUUUGAGAUCCGAGUAUGAUUGGGGAAAUAUCCUGAAAUAGUCUAUGAUUUGAAGAAAUGGAUAGAUGGCUAGAAUAACAUGCUAGAUGGUAGUCAAGUUACUAACUGCAGAAUUGAUUUGAUAAAAUUCUCAUCGUGUCUCCUGACUUAGGAGAAAUAUUGGGUCUGAUGAAUGGGUAAAAUUCCCAGGUGAAAAGAAUUUGGUCUGUAAGAUUUGGCAGCACCCUGAGGUUUGCCAUAUCUGAUGGCCUGGCUUUAGUGGCAGCACCUAGUGAAGGCCCAGGUGUCCUUCUGACAACCUUUACCACCUACCGUUUUGUCCUUACUUAUGUUGAAUCACUACACACAGGCUGUUGAAUUCAGCUGUCUGUGGAGAAAUUAUACCAACCACAUGGUUAGACAGAAGGAAUACAAUAUAUUGCUUAAUUUGUAUCUGAAAGCUAAGCAACAUGGAAAAAAAUCAAGCAUGCUCAGUCACUUCCAUGAGGACAAACGAAGACACUUCAAGGAUAAUGAUUGAUACACCUCCCAUGCCC
Molecule: long non-coding RNA, 553 nt
Filed under: Homo sapiens (human)
Lineage: Eukaryota; Metazoa; Chordata; Mammalia; Primates; Hominidae
Description: non-protein coding LINC01333:7
Source: RNAcentral